AGGGACGUGGUGAAAUGGUAUCACAGCAGUCUCCAAAACUGCUUUUCUCAGUUCGAAUCUGAGCGUCCCUGCCA
This 74-nucleotide transfer RNA is filed under the name Candidatus Levybacteria bacterium RIFCSPHIGHO2_01_FULL_41_15. RNAcentral's name for it is "tRNA-Trp". It matches the Rfam family "tRNA". Rfam says of the family: Transfer RNA (tRNA) molecules are approximately 80 nucleotides in length. Their secondary structure includes four short double-helical elements and three loops (D, anti-codon, and T loops). Lineage: Bacteria; Candidatus Levyibacteriota. The record is from RNAcentral. RNAcentral also lists the same sequence under 1 other name.